GGGAAUUAGAGAGGUAGAAACGGAACGAACGAAAAAGGGAGAGAGUGGGGUGAGAGAAUGAGGGAAUUAGAGAGGUAGAAACGGAACGAACGAAAUAGGGAGAGAGUGGGGUGAAAGAAUGAGGGAAUUAGAGAGGUAGAAACGGAACGAACGAAAAAGGGAGAGAGGGGUGAGAGAAUGAGGGAAUUAGAGAGGUAGAAACGGAACGAACGAAAUAGGGAGAGAGUGGGGGAAUUAGAGAGGUAGAAACGGAACGAACGAAAUAGGGAGAGAGUGGGGUGAAAGAAUGAGGGAAUUAGAGAGGUAGAAACGGAACGAACGAAAAAGGGAGAGAGUGGGGUGAGAGAAUGAGGGAAUUAGAGAGGUAGAAACGGAACGAACGAAAUAGGGAGAGAGUGGGGUGAGAGAAUGAAGGAAUUAGAGAGGUAGAAACGGAACGAACGAAAAAGGGAGAGAGUGGGGUGAAAGAAUGAGGGAAUUAGAGAGGUAGAAACGGAACGAACGAAAAAGGGAGAGAGUGGGGUGAGAGAAUGAGGGAAUUAGAGAGGUAGAAACGGAACGAACGAAAAAGGGAGAGAGUGGGGUGAGAGAAUGAGGGAAUUAGAGAGGUAGAAACGGAACGAACGAAAUAGGGAGAGAGUGGGGUGAGAGAAUGAAGGAAUUAGAGAGGUAGAAACGGAACGAACGAAAAAGGGAGAGAGUGGGGUGAGAGAAUGAGGGAAUUAGAGAGGUAGAAACGGAACGAACGAAAAAGGGAGAGAGUGGGGUGAGAGAAUGAGGGAAUUAGAGAGGUAGAAACGGAACGAACGAAAUAGGGAGAGAGUGGGGUGGGAGAAGGACGGAGGUUGCAGCAAGACGGCAGACAUGUUUUCCACAACAGCUGUUGAGCAAACAGAGUGAAGGGGUAGAGGCAAAUCCUACCACCUGCCCUUGUUUUACAAUGACGCCAGGUGACCAAUCAUACUCAGCCAUCAUGCUGCUCACCCUGCCCCACCUGACCACCUGGCCAAUCAAAUCAUUACCUCACAUAGGGGUUGUGACACGUACAAUAUUCCACUUAAUUGACGACCAUAAAUCAUUUUACACUUCAGUCAACCUUAAUGGACUUAUUAGUCCUACUUAUUCAUUACUUCUCAAACCUACUACCUAUAUAGGUCUCUACUUUGACACCCUAUUCCCUAUAUAGUGCACUACUUUGACACCCUAUUCCCUAUGUAGUGCACUACUUUGACACCCUAUUCCCUAUAUAGUGCACUACUUAGACACCCUAUUCCCUAUAUAGUGCACUACUUUGACAUCCUAUUCCCUAUAGGGCAAUCAUUUUGACCAGAGCCUGUUCUGAUCAACUGUACUGCACUAUAGGAAGCAAUAGGGUGUCUUUUGUGAUUGUCACCUCAGCCAACUGAACUGUGUCCAUCUAGCCAACCAAGUAGUAUUCAAUGGUGACAUUUUGAGCAACAUGUGUUUAAGGAAUUUUUUACAGUCCAUUGAAGAGUCAUUGGUAGAUCAAGGCUAGUGUGUGUAUGCUUGUGUGUGUAUGUGCGUGCAUUUGUGUGUGUGUGUGAGUAUACUUGCAUGUGUCCAUGUUUGCACUUGUUUGUAUGUGUGUAUAACAGAUCCCUUUUGUCCUUUCCACUCCUCACACAUGCUGCGUUUACCAUUAUAUAAUCACAGCAGAACCCAGAACUGACACAUCCUCUGGUGGGGAAGAACACAGGAAGAGAAAUAGUAACAG
This is a long non-coding RNA of Oncorhynchus tshawytscha (Chinook salmon), 1735 nucleotides long. Lineage: Eukaryota; Metazoa; Chordata; Actinopteri; Salmoniformes; Salmonidae. The record is from Ensembl.